This 87-nucleotide transfer RNA is filed under the name Bacteroidota bacterium. RNAcentral describes it as "Bacteroidetes bacterium (bioreactor sludge metagenome) tRNA-Ser". It matches the Rfam family "tRNA". From Rfam's summary of the family: Transfer RNA (tRNA) molecules are approximately 80 nucleotides in length. Their secondary structure includes four short double-helical elements and three loops (D, anti-codon, and T loops). Further hydrogen bonds mediate the characteristic L-shaped molecular structure. tRNAs have two regions of fundamental functional importance: the anti-codon, which is responsible for specific mRNA codon recognition, and the 3' end, to which the tRNAs corresponding amino acid is attached (by aminoacyl-tRNA synthetases). tRNAs cope with the degeneracy of the genetic code in two manners: having more than one tRNA (with a specific anti-codon) for a particular amino acid; and 'wobble' base-pairing, i.e. permitting non-standard base-pairing at the 3rd anti-codon position. The record is from RNAcentral. Lineage: Bacteria; Pseudomonadati; Bacteroidota.
GGAGAGGUGGCAGAGUGGUUGAAUGCGUCGGUCUCGAAAACCGGUAUAGGGGAAACUCUAUCGAGGGUUCGAAUCCCUCCCUCUCCG